Molecule: long non-coding RNA, 5945 nt
Filed under: Brassica napus (rape)
Lineage: Eukaryota; Viridiplantae; Streptophyta; Magnoliopsida; Brassicales; Brassicaceae
Description: long non-coding RNA (BNAP_LNC004422)
Source: RNAcentral
AGUAGUUUGGAGUUUUGAGCUUCACUGAACUCGCCCAUGCUUGAAUAUUCAUCAUCUUGAAGAUUUUUGGACAAGUGGAUAAUAGGAUGUUCCAACUGGUUUGAAAGGGACAGGAUUUGAAAGACUGGACUUUGAUGAAGCUUGCUGAACUGAGCUAAGACUUUCUUGAAUUCCAGAGACAGAGAUACUCCUUUAUCUUGAGUUCUGGUGAGGUUUUUCCCUCCUGGAAAACCUUUGGACCAGAGGAUAAAAGGAUGUAACGAACAGGUUUGAACAGAUUUUUAAAGAGAGAUUUUGGACAGGGAUGAUUUGCGGAAGCAAUAUAGGUUCUCAAGAGCUUGAGGCUCUGAUACCAUGUAAGAAUUGAGAUGAAAUAAACGGAAUAUGAUGAGAAUAAGCUUCUGGUUCAGUAUGAAACCAGAGAGAGUGAUUGAUGAGCAAUUGAAAGUAAUGAGAGAGUGAAGAGAGUAUAAAGUGUUUGGGAGAGUUUCUGAGUAUGCUAGAGUAUAAGGGAGUAAUGGAGGUCGUGAGAGACAAGAGAAUAGAGAGAAUAGGAGAAUCUGAGAGUUUAGUAACCAGAGUAUGUGAAGAAAGAGUUUUACUCUCCUUAGUUUACAAUCAGAUACAUCAUUGUCUUAAAUAGACAAGCACACAUAUUAAACAAAUACUAAAACAGGGUUUUACUAAACAAAUAAUAUUGUAGGGUUUUCUGAUGAAGCCAGGAAGGUACAGCCAAGGUGAAUCUCGACCAGAGGGAGUAGAGAGUGACAGGAGAGAGAUAUGGGCACAGUCUGGUUGGGUGAAAGUGACAACAGGUUCAUCCUCUUAUGCACAUGUGACUUUUACUCUAUUUAAUUCCCAACUUGUCUCAGCUCUCUCCAACGGUCUGAUGCUCCAUUUUAACUUCAAAUCUGCUUCAGAAGAUCAAGCUGGACGAGUUCCUCACCUGCCUUACCAUCCAAGUCACUCUAGGUAACUUGGUAGCCAAGACUGUACGGACUGCCUUGUGUAGCAAGGUUUUCCAGACCUGAAUCUUUUCAAGUAUCUCUUCUUCUCUUUGUCUUCUUUAUUUCUAAGAUCAAUGGAUCACACACAGCCAUGCUUCUUCCUUCUCCACUCUAACCAUAACUUGGUUCACAAGUCUGUAUGAACUAGUCUCAUCUUGAAGUAUCCGGAUUACUUCCUCUACAAUAUCAAACUUGGAUCAUGAACCAGAUUCUUCUUCUGGUCAUUCCCUUCUUCAUUUCAACACUCCCCCUCAAGCUUGACCAUAGGAGAUCCUUGGACAAGCUUGGAACCUUGAAGAAGCUCCCUCAUUAAAAACCUUAGCAAGAAAACCCAUUGGGACAAAACUUGCUAAGGGAAAAAGAGUGGAGUUUCUACAAAGCUUAGGGAUUGGCCAGUGAGCCUAAGGAACUUCAGAUUCAUCAUGGUGGAGUCCUUAGGCUCUGGAUCGUGGCCUAAUAGGUAUAGCAAGUAUGAAUCACCAUAACUUGCUAUCCUUGAGCACAAGUAGCCGGCUGGAUCAUUUUGUGGCCGGUUUAGGGUCUCCCUCUCUCAACUGGCUUCAAGCCACCUUAGGAAGGCUAGGACAUGACCGGAUCAUCAUCAUCAUCUUCAGUGAGGCUCAAGCUUAUUUUGGUACCUGAUACAUCAUUUCAAAAGUGCAUCAGUUCUUAAGGAAAUGCACUCAUCACAUCAAACUCAAUAAUAGUUUAAGUAUAAGGACAAUCUUGAAUGUAUUGAGAUGAGUUUAAGGUGCUUCCCUUUUAUAAGAAUGGUGAGCUCAAUCACACGGUUGGUACUGAGUAAUGCAAGAGUGAAUCCACUACUUGCAAACUUGGAUUGGCGCCAAUUCCUUCACCAUCAAAUCACCUUUGAGCUUCUUCUUAUGACCUGAGCUUGUCUCCCCCUUUCUUCUGGCUUCUUGCCUCUAUUUAGGGGUUGAGACAAAGCUUGCCUUUGUUCAUGAGCUCAAUAGGUACCUGAUUCAAUCAUACAAAGAAUGCAUGUAUCAAUUCUCAAGGGGAAAACCUAUUCUCACAUAAGAAUAAGGAUGGUUUUAGGUACUCCCCUUGCAUUAGUUUCUGGAAUGUUGAUGAGGAGUGCAGAGCACUUGAAUCCUCCACGCCAUUCCUUCUCUCAACCAGCCUUUGCAUUGUUCUCUUGAAGUUUCAACAUGUAGGGGGACUUUGCAACUCCAUAAUUUGCCACCAUCAUGUGAUUGCUUAGCCAAGAAUGUCCCUGAUUGAAUAAUCCUUGCAUCUGGCUGGUAAGAACAGUGAGGAGUGACAGCUUCUUCAGACUGAUCACUUAAGUCCUCUUUUAAUUUGCCAACCUCUUGCUGGUCUUCUAUGAGGAAAUGGGACACUGGAUAUAAUAAGCUUCAUGGAUCUUUUGGUAGCUCACUGAUAUUCCCCUCCUCAAGCUUGACUGAGUAUAGUGACAAGCUUGAACGUGAGCUUCAAUGAGUUUUGAACUGGGAGCACAACAAUACCAACAUCUGCGCUUAAGCCAACCAGUUCACCAUCUUCCAGGAGCACAACAAUACCAACAUCUGCGCUUAAGCCAACUGGAUCACCAUUUGCCUUCAGCUCCAAUGUCUUUGGACCACCAGUCUCCUCAUGACUUAGGUGAUGGCCUUCCUUGUGAGUCUCUUGAACCAGGAGCACAACAGCUCCUACGCCUGCGCUUAAGCCAACUGAUUCCACUCAUAAGAUGUCUCUCCAUGGUCAGUAAUAUACACCAAGUGUAGGCUCUGAACAACAUGGUCUCUUUUCUCCAUGUUCAGGAAUAUGCAUCUUGUGCAGGCUCUGAUCAACAUGGGUAUAUCUCUUUUCCUGUUGCUGCUUCUGGUCUAAUAGUCACAUCAUGUGUCCUACACACCAUUACAACUCAGAUAGGGAUCAGUAACAUCAGCAUGGGACCAGAUCAUGUAAUAAAAUGAAGACUGGUCGCAACUGCUUAAAAAAAAAACAGAUUGCAAAACAGCUUAUCACCUCCUAUGACAGCUUUAGAAACAAUAUGAAUGCACCAGGAACAAUAUGUAUGCCUCUUUAAUACAAUCCAAUAUGCAUUUUUAAGACAAUCCAGAUGCUAAAGAAGACUAGGCUAAUAACCUAAUCAAUUUCAACAACAGCAUGAAUACACCACACAUCUAGGAACACUCCUAGAUACUUAACAAUCUCAAGGCAGACAUGACAAUUAAAGGACUCCCAAUCGAUAUCAAUAUAUCAUGGAUGCAUGACAACCUAGGCAGACACUUCUAGGAACAAAAACAACCACAGAUGAUAAGAUUAAGACAAAAUGCAACUUCUAGCAACUUAUCAUGAUCCAUUGGACUCUAAACCAUCACUCAAAAACGACCAGACACAUUACACAAGCUAUUGUUCAGGUUUAGGAGGUUUAACUUACAGCCAAGGAACCUGGGCUGGUUCCUUGAACCUUCAUAUACACACUACUCAUCUGAGCUUGGUGGAUUUGAGUUUUGGAUUCAUUACCCAACUCCUUUUCCUUGUGUGUUUGGCCCUGUUUGUAAAGCUCACCCUUGGAUCCCCUCCUGUCCUCCUGGUCUUCUUGGUUCUAUUGGACAUCAUCCGCCUGUGAACUUUCCUUGAAGCAUGGCUGAAUUUGAGUGCUUUUAAGAACAUGAGAUGAAAUGGCUUCUCAAUGUUUCUUCUUGCUGAUUUGACUUCACCAUACACGACCAGGGGAUCAGAUAGGAACCCUGAGAAUGACUGAGAGGACCGUGGCUUUUGUUGACUCCAUAUUGAAGUAAAUUUGAGAAAGUCGGUUUGAGCAGUCUUCAAGAGGGUGUGAGCUUUGAGCUUGUGCUUGAUGUGUAAAGGUCAUCACAUAACAUUUAAUAACCUGUCACCACAACUAAAGACAGGUAUCAAAAGACAAUAAAGAGAUCAGAACAUGGUUUCUCACCAAGUCUGAUCUCCAAAAACACCUUAACAAAGAACACAAUGGACAUAAACUUUCUUGAAACUAUUCAAGCAACAACACUGAAUCCUAAUUAUCAUAACUAACCAUUCAGGUAACAUAGAAACAUCACAACCUAACACCAGGUCUAAACAACAUUUUAAAAGAAAUUUCUAAACUUUUUCUUGACAAUUUUGAAGCAAAUAAACCAGACAAUUUUCUAGACAAGAUUAGAAUAAUAUAAUGGCAUAUUUUUUUUUUUUUUUUCAGAGACAGAGAUUAAAAAUAGCACUAAGACUCUUAACAAAAUUCUAAGGCAGACAAAUACUUAGACAAAAUGACAAUUGGACAGUCUUUUCAUGUGUAGAAACUAGACAAGAACAACAAGCUAGUUUCUAAACACCCUAAGACAACACAAACGACCAGCACACACAGUGCUUUUAUUAGAGUAGAAAAUUCCGCUUACUCUCAAGAAACCUGAGCUGGUUUCUUGACUCUCCAGCCCAUGGGGGCUUAUUGAAAGUACAUUUGUUUCAGAUGUGGAUUGAAUAUCCACCACCUAUCCUUAGUGAGUCCUUCCUUGCAGUGCUGACUCUUCUGACCUUUCUUCUCUUCCAACUUGAAGUAGGAUUUGUUGGACAGAGACUGAGCUUCUGGUUGUCUCUCAUUAACAUGAGCAAAGACCUUGCAGAUUUUCCAUGGAGCUUCAUCUGAAGUAUGGCUCCAAACACCUUUGCCUCUAUGGUUUUUCUUCAUCAUUCUGACCCAGAGAGAGUAGUUUGGAGUUUUGAGCUUCACUGAACUCGCCCAUGCUUGAAUAUUCAUCAUCUUGAAGAUUUUUGGACCAGUGGAUAAUAGGAUGUUCCUACUGGUUUGAAAGGGACAGGAUUUGAAAGACUGGACUUUGAUGAAGCUUGCUGAACUGAGCUAAGACUUUCUUGAGUUCCAGAGACUGAGAUACUCCUUUAUCUUGAGUUCUGGUGAGGUUUUCCUCUCCUGGAAAACCUUUGGACCAGAGGAUAAAAGGAUGUAACAAACAGGUUUGAACAGAUUUUUAAAGAGAGAUUUUGGACAGGGAUGAUUUGCGGAAGCAAUAUAGGUUCUCAAGAGCUUGUGGCUCUGAUACCAUGAAAGAAUUGAGAUGAAAUAAAAGGAAUAUGAUGAGAAUAAGCUUCUGGUUCAGUAUGAAACCAGAGAGAGUGAUUGAUGAGCAAUUGAAAGUAAUGAGAGAGUGAAGAGAGUAUAAAGUGUUUGGGAGAGUUUCUGAGUAUGCUAGAGUAUAAGGGAGUAAUGGAGGUCGUGAGAGACAAGAGAAUAGAGAGAGAAUCUGAGAGUGUAGUAACCAGAGUAUGUGAAGAAAGAGUUUUACUCUCCUUAGUUUACAAUCAGAUACAUCAUUAUCUUAAAUAGACAAGCACACAUAUUAAACAAAUACUAAAACAGGGUUUUACUAAACAAAUAAUAUUGUAGGGUUUUCUGGUGAAGCCAGGAAGGUACAGCCAAGGUGAAUCUCGACCAGAGGGAGUAGAGAGUGACAGGGGAGAGAGAUGGGCACAGUCUGGUUGGGUGAAAGUGACAGCAGGUUCAUCCUCUUAUGCACAUGUGACUUUUACUCUAUUUAAUUCCCAACUUGUCUCAGCUCUCUCCAACGGUCUGAUGCUCCAUUUUAACUUCAAAUCUGCUUCAGAAGAUCAAGCUGUACGAGUUCCUCACCUGCCUUACCAUCCAAGUCACUCUAGGUAACUUGGAAGCCAAGACUGUACGGACUGCCUUGUGUAGCAAGGUUUUCCAGACCUGAAUCUUUUCAAGUAUCUCUUCUUCUCUUUGUCUUCUUUAUUUAUAAGAUCAAUGGAUCACACACAGCCAUGCUUCUUCCUUCUCCACUCUAACCAUAACUUGGUUCACAAGUCUGUAUGAACCAGUCUCAUCUUUGAAGUAUCCAGAUUACUUCCUCUACAAUAUCAAACUUGGAUCAUGAACCAGCUUCUUCUUCUGGUCAUUCCCUUCUUCAUUUCAAC